AGAGUCUUAAGUUAAUGAAACUAUAAGCCUUCAAAGCUUAAAAUGAGAAUACUCAGCCUCUU
RNAcentral lists this transfer RNA (62 nucleotides) under Thor amboinensis. RNAcentral describes it as "tRNA-Trp". The record is from RNAcentral. Lineage: Eukaryota; Metazoa; Arthropoda; Malacostraca; Decapoda; Hippolytidae.